AUAGAUUAGUACGUGAUUAAUUAAUUUAUUAAGUACAAAAAUAUAAUAAUAUAAUAAUAUAAUUUUUAAACAACUGUUCUAUAGAAAAUUGUUACGAAAAAUGCAUCGUUUAGCAGUUCGGAAAGGAUGCGUGUGGAAAACGAGAAAAUCUAGGGUGAAUAAGGAAGCAGCCGAACACGACCGUAGACUCCAGAUAUCUAUCCAUCCCACCUGGCACAUGAAUUUCACACUACCCAACUAGCCUUGGCAUAACCCUAACUAACGUCUCCUCAUUUUACUACCAAAAAGCUACUGGACGUACCUUCCAGACCUACAAUGGAACCCAUUGAUCUAGUUCUCAUAACUUU
RNAcentral lists this long non-coding RNA (347 nucleotides) under Oryza brachyantha (malo sina). Its description in RNAcentral is "long non-coding RNA (OBRA_LNC003329)". The record is from RNAcentral. Lineage: Eukaryota; Viridiplantae; Streptophyta; Magnoliopsida; Poales; Poaceae.